GUGGGCGGUGCGCGGCGCGCGGGCCGUCCUCUCGCACACGCGGCCUUGGAGGCGGGUGUCUGACCCUUGGUCUACCGCUUGUUGAGACCCCUUCCCCCUCGGGUCAGAGGCGCCUUUGCGCUCCGGUUCUUAGCCUUCUCUCGGUUCCCCGGCGACAGAAAGAUGACACAGAGACAUAGAGAGGGAAAGGCCUUGAGACAUGGAGAAGUCGAGACCCAGUUACCACCAAGAAGUGAAGUCCCAGACACAUGUACCUGGUGAACCCAUCCCAGCUGAGGGACCAGUCAUUGAGGGAAGAAGCCACCUAGGUUGUCCCAGCCAUCUGAGCUGUUCCUCAUUACCUGGAACAGAGCGUCCUACAGGGGCUGUGUAGAAUGAGGUGGGGAUGGAAGACAUGGCCCUACCCUCUGGCAAGAACCCAGUCAGAUGGAGGUGGCUUACAUGAAGCUAUGGCCUGGCUUCAGGAAGCACUGCUCUCCCUACUCCCCCAGGCCAGAAAUGGAACCAGACUUUCCCUUCUUUCUUCACAGCAAAACUGAAGCCAGGCUGUGAAGUUUCACAUAAUUUUACGAAUACUCAGAGAUAAGAGAAAAUGGUUUGCGUCCACAGGGCAGCAAUAUGGCUGCCCUAGAACCUUGCUACAGCAAAUGUUUUCCUCUUUAAUCUACUCCCUUCUCUGGUUCUCUUUCCUUAGCCAUGUUUUGCUCAAAUGACCUUACCUUAAAAAAAACAAAAUCUGGGACGCCUGAGUGGCUCAGUCGGUUAAGCGUCCGACUUCCACUCAGGUCGUGAUUUAGCAGUUCGUGAGUUCGAGCCCCAUGUCGGGCUCUGUGCUGACAGCUCAGAGCCUGGAGCCUGCUUCAGAUUCUGUGUCUCCCUCUCUCUGCCCCUGCCCGCUCACACUCUGUUUCUCUGUAUCUCAAAAAUGAAUAAACGUUAAAAAAAAUUUUUUAAUAAGAAACAAACA
This is a long non-coding RNA of Acinonyx jubatus (cheetah), 967 nucleotides long. RefSeq lists it as uncharacterized. NCBI's taxonomy places the organism in Eukaryota, Metazoa, Chordata, Mammalia, Carnivora, Felidae. The record is from RefSeq and is a predicted model, not a curated record. The transcript has 3 exons.